ACUCCUGCGGGAGGCAGCAGUGGGGAAUUUUGGACAAUGGGCGAAAGCCUGAUCCAGCAAUGCCGCGUGUGUGAAGAAGGCCUUCGGGUUGUAAAGCACUUUUGUCCGGAAAGAAAUCCUUGGCUCUAAUACAGUCGGGGGAUGACGGUACCGGAAGAAUAAGCACCGGCUAACUACGUGCCAGCAGCCGCGGUAAUACGUAGGGUGCGAGCGUUAAUCGGAAUUACUGGGCGUAAAGCGUGCGCAGGCGGUUUGCUAAGACCGAUGUGAAAUCCCCGGGCUCAACCUGGGAACUGCAUUGGUGACUGGCAGGCUAGAGUAUGGCAGAGGGGGGUAGAAUUCCACGUGUAGCAGUGAAAUGCGUAGAGAUGUGGAGGAAUACCGAUGGCGAAGGCAGCCCCCUGGGCCAAUACUGACGCUCAUGCACGAAAGCGUGGGGAGCAAACAGGAUUAGAAACCCGGGUAGUCC
RNAcentral lists this ribosomal RNA (469 nucleotides) under uncultured organism. RNAcentral describes it as "partial 16S ribosomal RNA". It matches the Rfam family "Bacterial small subunit ribosomal RNA", at positions 335 to 796 of the family's 1533-position model. The record is from RNAcentral.